This 460-nucleotide ribosomal RNA is filed under the name uncultured bacterium. RNAcentral's name for it is "partial 16S ribosomal RNA". It matches the Rfam family "Bacterial small subunit ribosomal RNA", at positions 338 to 795 of the family's 1533-position model. The record is from RNAcentral.
CCUACGGGUGGCAGCAGUGAGGAAUAUUGGUCAAUGGCCGUAAGGCUGAACCAGCCAAGUAGCGUGAGGGAAGACUGCCCUAUGGGUUGUAAACCUCUUUUAUGCGGAGAUAAAGGUGUCCACGUGUGGAUGUUUGCAGGUACCGCAUGAAUAAGGCCCGGCUAAUGCCGUUCCAGCCGCCGCGGUAAUACGGAAGGUCCGGGCGUUAUCCGGAUUUAUUGGGUUUAACGGGAGCGUAGGCCGGUCUUUAAGCGUGCCGUGAAAUUUUGUGGCUCAACCAUGCGAGUGCGGCGGGAACUGGAGAGCUUGAGUGUGCGGAAGGCAGGCGGAAUUCGUGGUGUAGCGGUGAAAUGCUUAGAUAUCACGAAGAACCCCGAUGGCGAAGGCAGCCUGCCGCAGCGUUACUGACGCUGAAGCUCGAAAGCGCGGGGAUCGAACAGGAUUAGAUACCCGUGUAGUC